CAUCUUCACAUUCAUGGAUGCAGCUAAUUAAGAAUAGGUAGUUGUUUUGACUCAAGGAGAAUACUAUCUUAUAAAUCGAUAAAAGAAGAUUUGAUAGCUCAGCGUUUCUUUACCAUAUAGUUCACCAUUUCUGGACCCAUCAGACAUGUUUUGCUUCCAUGAUGAACAGAUUUAAUUAAUAGUCUCAAAGUUUUAGCCAGAAAAUUGCAUAUGCAUAAUACGGAGAGAUAAUGCUUCAGUUAGUUACCAUUUUUUUAAUGUAAUAAUGAAUAUGAUAUAUUUCAGCAGCAUUGCAGUUAAUUCUAGAGAGUUGUUGCAGCGGCUACCAAUCUUCUUCAACAGAGAACAAUCAGUUCAGCUGUCUGAGAAAUUAUAUUUUGAUUUGUUUUAUAUUCCUAAUCUUUCCGAAUAUGAAUCUAUUUAGGACUGCAGUGGUUUCAGGUUUCACCCAUUGCGUGCAUAAACUAUCUUAGUAUGUAUGCUAGGCUGGCGAAAUCAUCAAAUUCCUGAUUAAUGUGCAGUCAUGGCACGGUUGGGUGACAGGGCGAGGAUAUUGGUCAACGAGAAAUGCCUUGCUCCAAGAUGAUUGGCUUAUACUCAAGCCUUCCAAAUGGCUCCAUCAGCCGUGUGCAGCGGAUGUUACUGUGCAUGUCGCCUCUGCUCGAUACUGCCUGAUACAGAACCGGGGGGAAGUUUCCGGUUGAAUUCCACUGGUUUCCAAUUGUUCACCCCACUGUCGAUUGCUUGCUGGCAUUCUGAAUAUUCGAUGUUUCUUUGCUGAUGCAUCUGUGCUACACAACACAUCUGUGCCUUUGAAGUUGGUAAGGAUUUUAGUAAAUUAUCCAUUCA
Molecule: long non-coding RNA, 849 nt
Organism: Hordeum vulgare subsp. vulgare (domesticated barley)
Lineage: Eukaryota; Viridiplantae; Streptophyta; Magnoliopsida; Poales; Poaceae
Exons: 2
Source: RefSeq, a predicted model, not a curated record